Long non-coding RNA from Schistocerca nitens (vagrant locust), 1634 nucleotides. RefSeq lists it as uncharacterized. Lineage: Eukaryota; Metazoa; Arthropoda; Insecta; Orthoptera; Acrididae. The record is from RefSeq and is a predicted model, not a curated record. The transcript is spliced from 3 exons.
UGGGUAAGGACGCCUUACUGUGGACCAUUAACUGUCCACUGUGUGCUGUUAUCCUUUGCACCUAUCAAUCAAGUGGAUCUACCUCUGCACCUGAUCCACUGCAGUAGCCAGGCUGUCAUAGUUGGGUUUUCAGGUACCCACUUGGUGGUAGCCCCCUGACAGUGCAGGGAUUGCAUGCGAUGCCCAAGCUGUAACCUCCUCCUGUCAGCCAAGAAGUAGGUGCAUUUCGACUUCAAGGUACUGGGACUCUGGGCAAUAGCUACUAUGCCAGGUGGAUGUGUUGCCUAUGAAUUGGCAGAACCACCCAAACUGAUGUUGCUGGACCCUGUUUGUGAUUGGCAAUGGAGUCCUUCCAUAUGAGCCCUUUCCAGAGCCUCUGGGUGGAAGCCAGUGUCCCCCACUGCAGGUUAAACAACAGCUGCUUCUUGCUAAUUACACAGUCACAAUGUGUAAGAUGUCUACUCACUCAUGUCACUCAACUCUUUUCCACAACCAACAGUUCAGACUGAUAGUGCACCACACAAAACUGGGUAGACCAGCUGGGAUCUGACUUGAUAUUCUAUUGAAGGGCCUCCAACAGCCUCCUUUACUGUGUGUUUCUAGCGUCCCUCUUGACGCCCACCAUGAUCUGUACCAUGUCCUGUGAUAUGGAUGGACCUCUUUUGCGUCCCCAAGAAGGAUGCUGAUCCUACUCUUCUCCGACGUUUUGUUCGAUCCUCCACGAUUGUUCUAAUUCGGUAUGCAUCUACAUCUAGAUGGACAGAUUGAAAUUGACAGGGUUGGUUAUGCCUUUGCACGCGUAAGGGGAUACGAGAAGCAGUCUCGGCCAAGUGCCUGCAGUGUAUAACUGCAGAGUUGGUUGCCAUAUUUCAGGCCUUGAGGCUUGCCAUGACAAACUUUCUGAUCUGCAGUGACUCCAUGAGUUGCUUGAAAGGCAUAUCCCUGUGCUAUCCCAAAAAUCUUGUGGUUGCCAAUAUCUGGGACGUACUGGUUGACCUCUACAGCUCUGGAAACACAGUGACCUUCAUCUGGACCCCAAGACACACAGGUAUUCCCAGAAAUGAACUUGCUGACUGUCUCUUUAAAGACACCAUUACAGCAUAUCAACUAGGAACUUCAGAAUACAGGGCUCAGAUUUACAAUUACAACUUCAAUGCAAUAUUUUUAGGCUCGGGGAAUUAGAAUGGCAGGCUACUAUGACCCAAAACAUGUUAGGAGCAGUUAAGGGGUCCACUAAGGUGUGGCAUACAUCUUUCCAGGCCUCUCGGAAAGAUGCCAUUGUGUUGUGCAGACUAAACAUCAGCGACAAGAGACUCGUCGAUGAGUUCCAUCUGCAUUGGGAGGAUCCUCUUCACGGAAUCUGCAGCUUUACUUAACUGAGUCCAAGGAAAGUCCAAUAAGUUUCUGGUUCGAUAUGAGUGCACACCUGAUGUACUUUCAAACAUAUGAACAUUCUGUUCGGUAUGUGUAAUGGACUGUCAGGACCGGCAUGUCUCCUAGUGUACUGGCUUACCAUUGGUGAAGUAACAUUGGCUGGAGUAGAAUUCACAUGUACAAAUGUGAGAAUGGACAGCAAAGGAAGUAUACAAAGUUUUUGUGUAUAUAGGAUUUCAUGCUCUACUUCCAGAAUUAUA